Pipra filicauda (Wire-tailed manakin) is the source of this 461-nucleotide long non-coding RNA. RefSeq lists it as uncharacterized. The transcript has 3 exons. Lineage: Eukaryota; Metazoa; Chordata; Aves; Passeriformes; Pipridae. The record is from RefSeq and is a predicted model, not a curated record.
UGGUGACCUGGGCUGUGAUUGACUCUGGUAUCAUCACCACACCUACUCUGCUGGAGUACCACGGCAGUGCAUUCCUAGGGGGUGAAGUCACUGCCCUACCAACUGUGCUGCUACCCCUGGCUCCCAGCUCUCCAAAGCACAGCCCAACAAAGGAUGGAAGCACUAGGAAAGGGGGAGCAGGCAGUUCCCUUUGGUGGGAAGUCCCAGUUUCACAGUUCCAGCAGCACCUCGAUGAAGUCAAGGCUUGAAAACCUUCUCCUGCAUGCGCCACAGGUCCUGUGAGGUGGCCUCAGUUAAAAACAACACAAUAAUUCUCAGAAGAAUGUGGCUGAGCCAAAUGCCCAGGAAAGCAGAGCCUGAUAUGAUUCUCUUAAAAAAAAAUGCUGGAGAAGAACAUAAAACCAGACUGAGUUAAAAGAUCUGAAAAAUAAUUCACUGGAAUGCAGUUUUGAUAUUUUGCA